RNAcentral lists this long non-coding RNA (736 nucleotides) under Danio rerio (zebrafish). RNAcentral's name for it is "TIAM Rac1 associated GEF 2b (ENSDARG00000117444.1)". The record is from RNAcentral. Lineage: Eukaryota; Metazoa; Chordata; Actinopteri; Cypriniformes; Danionidae.
GGUGGAAGCCUUGGGCUCAUCCGUCUCCGAGCUCAGGGUUCUCUUCCGAGACAGCAUGCCAAACCUGAACGCCAAGCAUUAUCUAAGUGUGAAUGCUUGAAACUUAAAAAAACUAGCUUGAUUCCUAGUGGGGUUUUGCAAGUUGAUUUGCACGAUCACAUCGCCACCCUUUGUUUAGUCACGAGGCAUCAAACGUCAAUGAAAAGCGAGAGCAAAAAGUAUUGUACCCUUGUUUGCACAUGCCUUUACUUUAUAUCAACUUUUACCUCUUUCCACUUACCUGCAGGCUGAAAACCAAACAGACCUGGAGAACUGGGUGACGGCCAUCCACUCAGCCAGCGCGUCACAUUUAGCGAAGCGUCAGGGAAAAGAAGACACUCUGCGCUUGCUGAAGAACCAAAGCCGAUCUCUCCUGCAGAAAAUCGACAUGGACGACAAAAUGAAGAAGAUGGCGGAGCUGCAGCUGUCUGUCAUCAGCGACCAAAAGAACAGGAAGGCUAUUGAGAGCCAGAUCCUGCAGUGGGAACAGAACCUGGAGAAGUUUAACCUAGAGCUCUUCCGCAUGCGCUGUUACCUGGCUAGCCUGCAAGGCACUGAGCUGCCCAAUCCAAAAAGCCUGCUAGCCACUGCUGGACGGCCCUCUAAAAUGGCGCUAGGUCGCCUGGGAAUUUUCUCUGUGUCGUCCUUUCAUGCGCUGGUGAGGAUCAUCACAUGCUUUGAGGCACACAUACAUUAA